AUCUAAGUACCCCGAGGAAAAGAAAUCAACCGAGAUUCCCCCAGUAGCGGCGAGCGAACGGGGAGGAGCCCAGAGCCUGAAUCAGUGUGUGUGUUAGUGGAAGCGUCUGGAAAGGCGCGCGAUACAGGGUGACAGCCCCGUACACAAAAAUGCACAUACUGUGAGCUCGAUGAGUAGGGCGGGACACGUGGUAUCCUGUCUGAAUAUGGGGGGACCAUCCUCCAAGGCUAAAUACUCCUGACUGACCGAUAGUGAACCAGUACCGUGAGGGAAAGGCGAAAAGAACCCCGGCGAGGGGAGUGAAAAAGAACCUGAAACCGUGUACGUACAAGCAGUGGGAGCCUCUUAAUGGGGUGACUGCGUACCUUUUGUAUAAUGGGUCAGCGACUUAUAUUCUGUAGCAAGGUUAACCGAAUAGGGGAGCCGAAGGGAAACCGAGUCUUAACUGGGCGUUAAGUUGCAGGGUAUAGACCCGAAACCCGGUGAUCUAGCCAUGGGCAGGUUGAAGGUUGGGUAACACUAACUGGAGGACCGAACCGACUAAUGUUGAAAAAUUAGCGGAUGACUUGUGGCUGGGGGUGAAAGGCCAAUCAAACCGGGAGAUAGCUGGUUCUCCCCGAAAGCUAUUUAGGUAGCGCCUCGUGAAUUCAUCUCCGGGGGUAGAGCACUGUUUCGGCAAGGGGGUCAUCCCGACUUACCAACCCGAUGCAAACUGCGAAUACCGGAGAAUGUUAUCACGGGAGACACACGGCGGGUGCUAACGUCCGUCGUGAAGAGGGAAACAACCCAGACCGCCAGCUAAGGUCCCAAAGUCAUGGUUAAGUGGGAAACGAUGUGGGAAGGCCCAGACAGCCAGGAUGUUGGCUUAGAAGCAGCCAUCAUUUAAAGAAAGCGUAAUAGCUCACUGGUCGAGUCGGCCUGCGCGGAAGAUGUAACGGGGCUAAACCAUGCACCGAAGCUGCGGCAGCGACACUAUGUGUUGUUGGGUAGGGGAGCG
Molecule: ribosomal RNA, 997 nt
Filed under: Escherichia coli
Lineage: Bacteria; Pseudomonadati; Pseudomonadota; Gammaproteobacteria; Enterobacterales; Enterobacteriaceae
Description: partial 23S ribosomal RNA
Rfam family: Bacterial large subunit ribosomal RNA
Source: RNAcentral